Molecule: ribosomal RNA, 492 nt
Filed under: uncultured bacterium
Lineage: Bacteria
Description: partial 16S ribosomal RNA
Rfam family: Bacterial small subunit ribosomal RNA
Source: RNAcentral
AGUGAACGCUGGCGGUAGGCCUAACACAUGCAAGACGAACGGCAGCACAGUAAGAGCUUGCUCUUACGGGUGGCGAGUGGCGGACGGGUGAGGAAUACAUCGGAAUCUACUUUUUCGUGGGGGAUAACGUAGGGAAGCUUACGCUAAUACCGCAUACGACCUACGGGUGAAAGCAGGGGAUCUUCGGACCUUGCGCGAUUGAAUGAGCCGAUGUCGGAUUAGCUAGUUGGCGGGGUAAAGGCCCACCAAGGCGACGAUCCGUAGCUGGUCUGAGAGGAUGAUCAGCCACACUGGAACUGAGACACGGUCCAGACUCCUACGGGAGGCAGCAGUGGGGAAUAUUGGACAAUGGGCGCAAGCCUGAUCCAGCCAUACCGCGUGGGUGAAGAAGGCCUUCGGGUUGUAAAGCCCUUUUGUUGGGAAAGAAAAGCAGCAGGUUAAUACCCCGCUGUUCUGACGGUACCCAAAGAAUAAGCACCGGCUAACUUCGUG